RNAcentral lists this ribosomal RNA (231 nucleotides) under uncultured Lactobacillus sp. RNAcentral describes it as "partial 16S ribosomal RNA". It matches the Rfam family "Bacterial small subunit ribosomal RNA", at positions 134 to 355 of the family's 1533-position model. The record is from RNAcentral. Lineage: Bacteria; Bacillati; Bacillota; Bacilli; Lactobacillales; Lactobacillaceae.
UAGUCUGGGAUACCACUUGGAAACAGGUGCUAAUACCGGAUAAGAAAGNCAGAUCGCAUGAUCAGCUUUUAAAAGGCGGCGUAAGCUGUCGCUAUGGGAUGGCCCCGCGGUGCAUUAGCUAGUUGGUAAGGUAAAGGCUUACCAAGGCGAUGAUGCAUAGCCGAGUUGAGAGACUGAUCGGCCACAUUGGGACUGAGACACGGCCCAAAAAUCCUACGGGAGGCAGCAGUC